Molecule: ribosomal RNA, 480 nt
Filed under: Triticum aestivum (bread wheat)
Lineage: Eukaryota; Viridiplantae; Streptophyta; Magnoliopsida; Poales; Poaceae
Description: partial small subunit ribosomal RNA
Source: RNAcentral
AUGCGCCCAUGCCUGUGCCGGCAAGCCGCCAGUGUCCGGGCCAACAAGCUUGAGCCUAAGGAGCGCUACGACGGGAUGAUGACGGAGGUGUAUGAGGCGGAACAAGUGCCAGCACCGAUCAUGGAGCAUCUCUCCGUUUUUCGAUGGUUGAGGGGCAAGGGAGCUUUCUCGGUGUUGGGUGCUUUGUUUGCCGGUGGUGGUGGCAAGAAAAUUUUCAAGAAGAAUGCAGAGGGCUCCCAGCCUCCCAUGUCUCUAAGCGCUCGAGGAGCAAACAUACUGCUCUCGUUGAGAAAAAGAACAAGCGCUAAUGCGAGCAAAGAAAUGGUGAUGUGCGUCCCAGAAAGUGGAGGAGCUAGAUGUUCCUGGAUUGUCACGGGCUCAUCGCCACUUCGACUGGAUGACGAACAACGCCGAUGUGGGUGCUUUCAGUUUACUUCAUAUAUACCCACGCGUACAAGGAAAUCAUCCACGAGUUCCUAA